UGGGGAAUAUUGCACAAUGGGCGCAAGCCUGAUGCAGCCAUGCCGCGUGUGUGAAGAAGGCCUUCGGUUUGUAAAGCACUUUCAGCGGGGAGGAAGGCGUUAAGGUUAAUAACCUUGGCGAUUGAUGUUACCCGCAGAAGAAGCACCGGCUAACUCCGUGCCAGCAGCCGCGGUAAUACGGAGGGUGCAAGCGUUAAUCGGAAUUACUGGGCGUAAAGCGCACGCAGGCGGUCUGUCAAGUCGGAUGUGAAAUCCCCGGGCUCAACCUGGGAACUGCAUUCGAAACUGGCAGGCUAGAGUGAUGUAGAGGGGGGUAGAAUUCCAGGUGUAGCGGUGAAAUGCGUAGAGAGCUGGAGGAAUACCGGUGGGGAAGGCGGCCCCCUGGACAAAGACUGACGCUCAGGUGCGAAAGCGUGGGGAGCAAACAGG
Molecule: ribosomal RNA, 429 nt
Filed under: Chloroflexota bacterium
Lineage: Bacteria; Bacillati; Chloroflexota
Description: Chloroflexi bacterium partial 16S ribosomal RNA
Rfam family: Bacterial small subunit ribosomal RNA
Source: RNAcentral